AUUAGAAAAUUCAUUUUUUUAUUCAUAUUCCCUUGUAUUUUUUAGAUCUCCUGUUACCUCUUGCUGCUUCUAACUAACUCAACAGAUGAAAGACAUCUUGAACCACAUAUAAAACCAAUUGCUCUUGAAUUGUUGAAAAUACUUAAAGAAACGGAGAAUGAUUAUCUGACGAAUUUGAUGCAGAACCAAAAAAAAAAAGACUGUUUGCGUCUGUACCCAGCAAUUAGUUCCUAUUAGUGUUGAAAUGAAUCAGCAUUUUAUGCUUUGGCAAGUGAUGGAAUCAAUGAAGAUGGUGAUUAUUUAGAGUCGCUGUCUAAAAUCAUGAAGAACUCUCCUUUCCCUGUUACCCCCUCUGUGACUGCUGAUGAUGAUGAGACUUCAGAGAUGAUGAAGAAUCAGAAGAAAGUUAUGUUACACCUUUAGAUGAUGAUGACUGUGCUAUAGAUGAAUAUGUUAAGUCUUAAAACAAAUUAUUCUUAUUGGUACUUUUUCCGGAGAGCCUGUGAAUAAAUUUUUGUCCUAGCUGAUCAAAGAAAAGCAGCUGCAGGUAAAUUAUUUUCAUUCAUAGAACGAAGCUGUAUAGUCCUGUAAAAAUACAAGAAAUUAAUUUAAAAGAAGAAAAAAAACUUAAAUUGCAGGGUUUGUAAUUGUUCUGGUUUUUAACUUUCUGCCCUGAUAUACUGUGUGUCUGCUGAACAUCAUAUUUUCUACUAAUGCAAAUAGAUUUUAAAAUACUUUAUUUGAAGAAUCAACAGAUUUAGAUUUGAAAUCCCAUAUUUUUAUUUUAAUUAAUAAUGCAAGAAAAAGUUCGAUAGUUAAAACUUGGCAUCUGUCCACUAACUAUAUGAUUGGUUUAGACAUAGACUUACCCGCAGGAUUCAUUGUUUCCAAAAUUAUGGGGAAAAACUUGUU
Parasteatoda tepidariorum (common house spider) is the source of this 912-nucleotide non-coding RNA. Lineage: Eukaryota; Metazoa; Arthropoda; Arachnida; Araneae; Theridiidae. The record is from RefSeq and is a predicted model, not a curated record.